Molecule: ribosomal RNA, 649 nt
Filed under: Scopelodes kwangtungensis
Lineage: Eukaryota; Metazoa; Arthropoda; Insecta; Lepidoptera; Limacodidae
Description: 16S ribosomal RNA
Rfam family: Bacterial large subunit ribosomal RNA
Source: RNAcentral
UAAUAAAAAGAAUUCGGCAAAAAUUUAUAUUCACCUGUUUAUCAAAAACAUGUCUUUUUGAAAAUAAUUUAAAGUCUAAUCUGCCCACUGAUUUUAAUUAAAGGGCUGCAGUAUAUUGACUGUACAAAGGUAGCAUAAUAAAUAGUCUCUUAAUUAGUGACUGGUAUGAAUGAUUGGAUGAAAUAUAAACUGUUUCUUAUUAAUUAAAUAUAAUUUAAUUUUUUAAUUAAAAAGUUAAAAUGAUUUUAAAAGACGAGAAGACCCUAUAGAGUUUUAUAUAUUUAAUUAUUAUGAGUAAUUUUAUAAAUUUAUAAUAUUUUAAUGAUUGAUAUAUUUUGUUGGGGUGAUAAAAAAAUUAGAUAAACUUUUUUUUAAAGUAAACAUAAAUAAGUGAUUUUAUUGAUCCAUAAUUUAUGAUUAUAAGAAAAAAUUACCUUAGGGAUAACAGCGUAAUUUUUUUUUUUAGUUCGAAUAAGAAAGAAAGUUUGCGACCUCGAUGUUGGAUUAAGAUAAAAUUUAAAUGCAAAAGUUUAAAAUUUUGAUCUGUUCGAUCAUUAAAAUCUUACAUGAUCUGAGUUCAAACCGGUGUAAGCCAGGUUGGUUUCUAUCUUUAAAAAUUUGGAAUAUUUUAGUACGAAAGGAUUUGAUA